RNAcentral lists this small nuclear RNA (163 nucleotides) under Nomascus leucogenys (northern white-cheeked gibbon). Its description in RNAcentral is "U2 spliceosomal RNA". It matches the Rfam family "U2 spliceosomal RNA". Rfam says of the family: U2 is a small nuclear RNA (snRNA) component of the spliceosome (involved in pre-mRNA splicing). Complementary binding between U2 snRNA (in an area lying towards the 5' end but 3' to hairpin I) and the branchpoint sequence (BPS) of the intron results the bulging out of an unpaired adenosine, on the BPS, which initiates a nucleophilic attack at the intronic 5' splice site, thus starting the first of two transesterification reactions that mediate splicing. The record is from Rfam by way of RNAcentral. Lineage: Eukaryota; Metazoa; Chordata; Mammalia; Primates; Hylobatidae.
AUCACUUCUUGGCCUUUUGGCCAAGAUCAAAUGUAGUUCUAAUAGGGGUGUGUGUGUGUGUGUGUGUGUGUGUAGUCUUUAGGGUUUUCUACAUAUAAGAUCUUGUCAUGUGAGGAAAAAGGCAAUUUACUCCUUCAUUUCCAAUUUAGAUGCCUUUUAUUUC